UCUGAUGUCAGCAGUGUCCUUACGGCCUUUAAAAGGUGAAUUCUAUAAAAUAUCCUCAGUGAUUAACUUUCAUUUAUGCCUUGGAAGCUGAAAUCCAACAGCUGUCGUGUGGUUUCCACUGCUCUGGGAAGCGCACCGAUGCACUCCUUGCUGAUAAGAGGCCGCAGCCAUCAAGCAGGCCCAAGAAGAGGCUAAGCAGCAGCCUUCCCCAAAUCAUCCAGCGGAGAGCUAAGCCCUGCUUCCACUGAACCGUCAUCAGAAACAGCUGAUGUCAAUUAGACAGAUGUUAAUUAGAUAUGUUGGUCGGGGUGGGAGAGACAGGGAUAGCAUCACCCUGAGGGUGAGGUUAUGCAUGGAUAUCCACUGCGGUACGAACCCAAGGCAUUGCUUACACCCAGUCCUUUGCAGAAGUCCUUUGCUUUCACUGGGGGAGAAGAGGACUUACCCCAUCCAGAGCUUUUCCUACCCCUCAGGCACUGCAUGCGAGUUGCCAGGAGGUUUGCAGAGGGUGUUAUCCUGGUGAGGUCAGGUUUGCCCCUCUUUGGGGGGAAAAAUGGAAAAAACAGCACUUCCCUUGGGUUGUGCAACAUUCCUGUCCUCACAGCCUGAGGGCAUCUUUUACAAGAAAUAAAACACAUGAGACCAUGCAAUAAGAAAAAAAAAAAAAAAAAAAAAAAAGAAGAAGAAGAAGAAUUAAAAUAAAGCCCAAAGCCCAAGACAACCAAGACAAAGCACGGAUUUCUCAUGCCAACUGCAGGGAGACAUUCAGCCGGGAAUAAUGUGUAUUUCUGACAGCAUUAUUCACUCACCCCCGAGUAAAUACCCCUUAAUCCCUAUCCUAGCAGAAAUUUAUGGGAAAGAUUAGCCGGGCAGCUUGCUCUGAAGUGUCACAAAGCCCGCGGCUGCCCGGCAGAGAGAGGUGGGAGCGGGACCACCAAGCACCCCCCACACGUGGCCCUGGACCAGCCUGGCACUGCGCCGCUCCCGGCUGCCUUCUUCAGCGACAAAAGCCUGGUGUCUGCCUAAGAUCAUGCAGACUUUUUUUUUUUUUUAUAUCCCCCAAACGCCUUUAAUGAGCUGUUUCACAACUAGCGAAGGGCAGAAAUAAGGCUGAGCAGAGCUGGUGGGAGGCGAGAAGCCCCAGCCUGCAGAAAGCCAGGAAUUUCCCCUGGGGCUCUGAUUCAGACGAGGAAAUAGCUUCGGGUUUCUCCGAGCUGAAAUUCUCAGAGAACUCUGGCUUUGGCAAAAGUAUUACAGGGAUUUAAUACCCUGUCUAUUAUUUUAUGUAUUAUUGUAUGCUAUUAGAGGGCAGUCAUCAUGCGAUCAUUUUCUCAGAGACCUCGCGUGGAAAUUUUGAGUCGCUCAACUCUGCGAAAAGGAAGGGGGCAUUUUUCAGUUAACAACUUGCAAAGAAAGCCUCCCGACUGACCUAAAUCCAGCAGUUUGCAGCACUUCCCAAGGCCAGGCAUUAGCAGGAACAGGAGAUGGCUACAGCCUGCUGCUGGGGGAGGCGAGGGCUCACCUCCUAGCUCAUGGCAGAAGAAGUGAUGUGCAGAAAUGCAAACCUUCCCCAAGGUCCGGCUCCCUCCACUCAAGGGCUUGACCGAAGCCUCAUUUAAAGCCAUGAAAGCUUUUCCAUCGACCUCUGCGGGCUGACCGCUCAGGAAAUGAGGCCGGGCCAUCUGCUUGAAAGGCCGGUGCCCGUGUCAGAGUGCUUCUGAUCAAUAGCAGGCAAUAAGCACGGCGCGCUCCCGGAUGCGCUGGGGCUUCCCUUCGCCUGCUGCACCAGGCACCCAGCCCUGAGAUGUCCGGGGCACCCUUUUAGCAUUGCUUCGGGAGAAAAAAAAAAGCAGGAGCACCCAUCUGUGGCUUUGAUGUGCUCGGGCAGAGCACAACCAGGCCACGUCCCGUGUGGGAGAGCUUUUCCCUCAUACCCACUUUCCACCAGCCUCAGCACAGAGGAUGCUUCUGCUCUGUCCCACCAGCCUCACUCCAUUUUCCAGGGUUUUUCCCCCAAAAGGAGUACAAAGUGCAAACGCAACUGUUAGCGUGCCGCAUUAUCUGACCCUUA
Anas platyrhynchos (mallard) is the source of this 2071-nucleotide non-coding RNA. The record is from RefSeq and is a predicted model, not a curated record. NCBI's taxonomy places the organism in Eukaryota, Metazoa, Chordata, Aves, Anseriformes, Anatidae.